RNAcentral lists this long non-coding RNA (1350 nucleotides) under Phasianus colchicus (ring-necked pheasant). RNAcentral describes it as "lncRNA (ENSPCLG00000008875.1)". The record is from RNAcentral. Lineage: Eukaryota; Metazoa; Chordata; Aves; Galliformes; Phasianidae.
UGUGUAUCUGAGAUCCUCUGAAGGAAAGUGGGUUCCUUCUUUUGUUUCUGCAUCCACAGCUGUUGCAUUUGAGCAAGUCCUCAUCUGCUGCAGACUAGGACUUUGCUACUCUGCUGUUGUUGCUAUGUUUUCCACUGUGUUACACUUACUAAAUCCUGAUAAAAUAUCUGCAGGUGUGGGCAUAGCCCUAAAAGCAGUGCUCUUGAAGGGUAUCUUGUAAGUUAACUUUGUUGGCAGAACUAGAAAAAAAAUACAGAAGAUCAGUAGAGACAGAUAAUCACACCAGAGGAGGAGGGAAGAAUAUGUUCAUUGACUGGCUCACAGCUAAGGAAUUGAUCAAAAGGAUCAAGUGUUAUCAUUGCUUGAGUCUCAGUUUAAUGAGGGAGAGGCAAGAUACAAGCUAUUCAACCUAACCCAAAAUCUAAGAAACAUCUAAGAUACUCCAAUGAAUUUAGAUAAGGAAAUCCUUCAGGAUUCCUACCUUGGAAGGAGCCAUAUAAUCAAUGGAGUAACAUGUCAGGAGCUGUUAGACAAAAUCGUGCUGACUGUACACAGCAGUGUUGCUGCAAAAUCUUGGAUGCUUUUCACAUACUGAACUUCAGAGGCUCAAACUGUGGGAUUUUUCUUGGAUCUCAGAGGAUGACAACAUAAGCCUUGUGGACAACUUCAGGCUUGGAGGCCAUUAGUAGGAUCUGGUGGGUGCCUCCCAAUCUCCUAUAACAAACAAAGCAUGUGCCAAACUUCAGAGUACAGAUAGUGAUAAAACAAGAGAAGGUUCAAAGCAGACAUAAGAUUUGGUGGAGCAGACUAUCCCACUCUCACUGUGCUGCCUGUGUAGAAUUAAGACUAAUCUGUUAGGGUCCUGCAAAUAGAUGAUAGGAAAUACUUUCUUCCUCUCAUCCACACCUCUUCUCCUCAUCACCACAAAACUAUCAGCCUAUUGCCCACAGACUUCUUUUGGGCUUGAGAAGAAUUUCAUGGACUCCCAAGGAUGAAAAACAAAUCUGUUGAUGACAGACUAGAAUUUGUGAAUAGAGCUAUGGUCUGCUGAGCUUGCAAGCCUGCUUGUAUGUGAUAUGUGUUGCUUUCUUUCUGAAAAAUAGCGAAGGUAACUUAUCUGUAAUUGUAAUCACAGCAUUUCUUUUGAUAUUAUCUUAAAAGUAUUGCUACAAUACAACUCCUUUCUUGCCUGUGCCUUGGAUCUUAAUCCAAUACAGGUCAGUCUAGUGUUGUUUAUAGAUGUUCCUGAUUAAUUCUUAACUUUCAUUACUGAUCCUAUUGACGUGAACCAUAUCUGUAAAUUAAUUUGCAUUGAAUAAAUGAAAACAAGGAAAAGUUGGGGAAAUUAAA